GAAAUUGAAGAAGGGCGCAUGGUGGAUGCCUAGGCUCAAGGAGGCGAUGAAGGACGUGGGAAGCUGCGAUAAUCUGCGGUUAGGCGCAACCGGCCAUUGACCCGCAGGUCUCCGAAUGGGACAACCCGCCGCCGAAAGGCGGCAUCACGCUUGUAGCGUGAGGCGAACGCGGGGAACUGAAACAUCUUAGUACCCGCAGGAAGAGAAAACAACAGUGAUUCCCCCAGUAGUGGCGAGCGACCGGGGAACAGCCCAAACCGUCGGCGUUUCGGCGCCGUCGGGGUAGUAGGGCCGCAAUGUCGCACAAGCACCGUUAAGCGGAACGGACUGGAACGUCCGGCCAUAGCGGGUGAAAGCCCCUUACGCGCCGUCGGUGCUGGCGUAGCGGUUCCCUGAGUAGCGCGGGGCACGAGAAACCCUGUGCGAAUCCGCCGGGACCAUCCGGCAAGGCUAAAUACUCCCUUGAGACCGAUAGUGAACAAGUACCGUGAGGGAAAGGUGGGAAGCACCCCGUCGAGGGGAGUGAAAUAGACCCUGAAACCAUGCGCCUACAAGCGGUCGGAGCACGCUUAUGCGUGUGACGGCGUGCCUUUUGCAUAAUGAACCUACGAGUUGCCGUCGCCGGCGAGGUUAACCGUGAUGACGCGGGGAGCCGCAGUGAGAGCGAGCCUGAAGAGGGCGUACAGUCGGCGGUGGCAGACGCGAAACCAAGUGAUCUACACUUGGCCAGGGUGAAGUCCCGGUAACGCGGGAUGGAGGCCCGAACCGAUAAGCGUUGAAAAGCUUCCGGAUGAGCCGAGUGUAGGAGUGAAAGGCCAAUCAAACUUGGAGAUAGCUCGUACUCCCCGAAAGGCAUUUAGGUGCCGCGUGGGGUGUUCCGGGCGCGAGGUAGAGCGACCGAUAGGACGCGAGGGCUUCACCGCCUGUCAAGUCCUGACGAACUCCGAAUGCGCGUCCGCAGAAGCCCUGCAGUAAGGGGGCGGGUGCUAAGGUCCGCCCCCGAGAGGAGAAGAAUCCAGACCGCCGUCUAAGGCCCCGGAAUUCUGCCUGAGUUAGUCUAACGAAGUGUGCCCCCUGGGACAGCCAGGAUGUUGGCUUGGAAGCAGCCAUUCAUUCAAAGAGUGCGUAACAGCUCACUGGUCGAGGGGGCUCGCGUGGAUAAUAAUCGGGUAUAAGGCAGAUGCCGAAGGCGCGGGAUAUCGAAAGAAUGUAUCGGUAGGGGAGCAUUCCAGGUGCGCAGAAUGCAAGGGGCGACCCAUGCUGGAGCGCCUGGAAAGGCAAAUGUAGGUAUGAGUAACGACAAGGGGGGCGCGAACCCCCCCCGCCGCAAGGCCAAGGUUUCCCGGGCGAUGCCAGUCAUCCCGGGGUAAGUCGGGCCCUAAGCCUAAGCCGAAUGGCGAUGGCGAUGGCAGACACGGUUGAGAUUCCGUGACUGCCCGUGCGGGCGAUGCGGCAACGGAGAAGUGACACCGCCGCGCGCAGACGGAACUGCGCGUUGAAGGGUGUAGGCGUCGAGGGGCGCAGUUAAGCACACGCCCCGAGCCGAACCUGAUAGUACGGCGCUCCAUUCGUGGAGGGCCGAGAGUGCGGGUAAUCCAGCUCCCAAGAAACCCCGCUAAGCUUAACCGCACGGGCACCCGUACCGCAAACGGACACACGUGGCCGGGUAGAGCAUACCAAGGCGUUGAGAGACUCAUGGUCAAGGAACUAGGCAAACCAGCCCCGUAACUUCGGGAGAAGGGGUCCUCCCCCCGUGGGAGGCGCAGCGAACAGGCCCAGGCAACUGUUUACCAAAAACACAGGGCUGUGCAAACUCGAGAGAUGAAGUAUACAGCCUGACACCUGCCCGGUGCCGGAAGGUUAAGAGGAGGCGUCACCGCAAGGGAAGCGCCGAGUUGAAGCCCCGGUAAACGGCGGCCGUAACUAUAACGGUCCUAAGGUAGCGAAAUUCCUUGUCGGGUAAGUUCCGACC
Molecule: ribosomal RNA, 1972 nt
Filed under: human gut metagenome
Description: bacterial LSU rRNA
Rfam family: Bacterial large subunit ribosomal RNA
Source: RNAcentral